UACGAAGGGGGCUAGCGUUGCUCGGAAUUAUUGGGCGUAAAGCGCACGUAGGCGGCUUUGCAAGUCGGAUGUGAAAUCCCUCGGCUUAACCAAGGAAGUGCAUCCGAAACUGCAGAGCUUGAGUACUUAAGAGGAUCGCGGAAUUCCCGGUGUAGAGGUGAAAUUCGUAGAUAUCGGGAGGAACACCAGUGGCGAAGGCGGCGAUCUGGGAAGAUACUGACGCUGAGGUGCGAAAGCGUGGGGAGCAAACAGG
Molecule: ribosomal RNA, 253 nt
Filed under: uncultured bacterium
Lineage: Bacteria
Description: partial 16S ribosomal RNA
Rfam family: Bacterial small subunit ribosomal RNA
Source: RNAcentral